This 378-nucleotide unclassified non-coding RNA is filed under the name plant metagenome. RNAcentral's name for it is "partial contains 5.8S ribosomal RNA, internal transcribed spacer 2, and large subunit ribosomal RNA". The stretch from base 1 to 105 matches the Rfam family "5.8S ribosomal RNA", at positions 50 to 154 of the family's 154-position model. The record is from RNAcentral.
GAAAUGCGAUAAGUAAUGUGAAUUGCAGAAUUCAGUGAAUCAUCGAAUCUUUGAACGCCACUUGCGCUCCUUGGUAUUCCUUGGAGCAUGCCUGUUUGAGUAUCAUGAAAUCUUCAAAGUAAAUCUUUUGUUAACUCAAUUGGUUUCUACUUUGGUAUUGGAGGUCUUUGCAGCUUCACACCUGCUCCUCUUUGUUCAUUAGCUGGAUCUCAGUGUUAUGCUUGGUUCCACUCGGCGUGAUAAGUUAUCUAUCGCUGAGGACACUGUAAAAGGUGGCCAAGGUAAAUGCAGAUGAACCGCUUCUAAUAGUCCAUUGACUUGGACAAUACUUUUAUGAUCUGAUCUCAAAUCAGGUAGGACUACCCGCUGAACUUAAGC